AAACGACAUCGAAAGCUUGCUUUUGAUGGGCGUCGACCGGCGCACGGGUGAGUAACGCGUAUCCAACCUGCCCAUCACUUGGGGAUAACCUUGCGAAAGUAAGACUAAUACCCAAUGACGUCUCUAGAAGACAUCUGAAAGAGAUUAAAGAUUUAUCGGUGAUGGAUGGGGAUGCGUCUGAUUAGCUUGUUGGCGGGGUAACGGCCCACCAAGGCGACGAUCAGUAGGGGUUCUGAGAGGAAGGUCCCCCACAUUGGAACUGAGACACGGUCCAAACUCCUACGGGAGGCAGCAGUGAGGAAUAUUGGUCAAUGGACGAGAGUCUGAACCAGCCAAGUAGCGUGCAGGAAGACGGCCCUAUGGGUUGUAAACUGCUUUUAUAAGGGAAUAAAGUGAGUCUCGUGAGACUUUUUGCAUGUACCUUAUGAAUAAGGACCGGCUAAUUCCGUGCCAGCAGCCGCGGUAAUACGGAAGGUCCGGGCGUUAUCCGGAUUUAUUGGGUUUAAAGGGAGCGUAGGCCGGAGAUUAAGCGUGUUGUGAAAUGUAGAUGCUCAACAUCUGAACUGCAGCGCGAACUGGUUUCCUUGAGUACGCACAAAGUGGGCGGAAUUCGUGGUGUAGCGGUGAAAUGCUUAGAUAUCACGAAGAACUCCGAUUGCGAAGGCAGCUCACUGGAGCGCAACUGACGCUGAAGCUCGAAAGUGCGGGUAUCGAACAGGAUUAGAUACCCUGGUAGUCCGCACGGUAAACGAUGGAUGCCCGCUGUUGGUCUGAAUAGGUCAGCGGCCAAGCGAAAGCAUUAAGCAUCCCACCUGGGGAGUACGCCGGCAACGGUGAAACUCAAAUGAAUUGACGGA
This 857-nucleotide ribosomal RNA is filed under the name uncultured bacterium. RNAcentral describes it as "bacterial SSU rRNA". It matches the Rfam family "Bacterial small subunit ribosomal RNA", at positions 64 to 917 of the family's 1533-position model. The record is from RNAcentral.